Molecule: ribosomal RNA, 467 nt
Filed under: Simulium mengense
Lineage: Eukaryota; Metazoa; Arthropoda; Insecta; Diptera; Simuliidae
Description: partial 16S ribosomal RNA
Rfam family: Bacterial large subunit ribosomal RNA
Source: RNAcentral
AUAAAGUCUAACCUGCCCACUGAAUUUUGUUUGAAGGGCCGCAGUAUUUUGACUGUGCAAAGGUAGCAUAAUCAUUAGUCUUUUAAUUGAAGGCUGGUAUGAAUGGUUGGACGAGAUACAAGCUGUGUCAUAAAAAUUAAAAUUUGAAUUUAUCUUUUUAGUUAAAAGACUAAAAUAAAAUUAAAAGACGAGAAGACCCUAUAGAGCUUUAUAUAAUUAAUAUUUAAAUUAUUAAGAUUUUUUAAAUUAAAAUAUUGUCUUAUAUUUUGUUGGGGUGACAAUAAAAUUUAUAAAACUUUUAUUUUUAUAAAACAUUAAUUUAUGAUUAAAUGAUCCAGUUUUAUUGAUUAUAAAUUUAAGUUACCUUAGGGAUAACAGCGUAAUUUUUUUUGAGAGUUCUUAUCGACAAAAAAGAUUGCGACCUCGAUGUUGGAUUAAGAGUAAUUUUGGGUGUAGAAGUUCAAAAU